RNAcentral lists this transfer RNA (86 nucleotides) under Nematostella vectensis (starlet sea anemone). It matches the Rfam family "tRNA". Rfam says of the family: Transfer RNA (tRNA) molecules are approximately 80 nucleotides in length. Their secondary structure includes four short double-helical elements and three loops (D, anti-codon, and T loops). The record is from Rfam by way of RNAcentral. Lineage: Eukaryota; Metazoa; Cnidaria; Anthozoa; Actiniaria; Edwardsiidae.
CCUUCGAUAGCUCAGUUGGUAGAGCGGGGGACUGUAGAUUUAUAAUUGUGAUCCCUAGGUCGCUGGUUCGAAACCGGCUCGAAAAA